GACGAACGCUGGCGGCGUGCUUAACACAUGCAAGUCGAACGGAAAGGCCCUGCUUUUGUGGGGUGCUCGAGUGGCGAACGGGUGAGUAACACGUGAGUAACCUGCCCUUGACUUUGGGAUAACUUCAGGAAACUGGGGCUAAUACCGGAUAGGAGCUCCUGCUGCAUGGUGGGGGUUGGAAAGUUUCGGCGGUUGGGGAUGGUCUCGCGGCUUAUCAGCUUGUUGGUGGGGUAGUGGCUUACCAAGGCUUUGACGGGUAGCCGGCCUGAGGGGGGGACCGGCCCCAUUGGGACUGAGAUACGGCCCCGACUCCUACGGGAGGCAGCAGUGGGGAAUAUUGCACAAUGGGCGGAAGCCUGAUGCAGCAACGCCGCGUGCGGGAUGACGGCCUUCGGGUUGUAAACCGCUUUCGCCUGUGACGAAGCGUGAGUGACGGUAAUGGGUAAAGAAGCACCGGCUAACUACGUG
RNAcentral lists this ribosomal RNA (468 nucleotides) under uncultured bacterium. RNAcentral's name for it is "partial 16S ribosomal RNA". It matches the Rfam family "Bacterial small subunit ribosomal RNA", at positions 28 to 507 of the family's 1533-position model. The record is from RNAcentral.